This 4189-nucleotide long non-coding RNA is filed under the name Sus scrofa (pig). Its description in RNAcentral is "lncRNA (ENSSSCG00060026394.1)". The record is from RNAcentral. Lineage: Eukaryota; Metazoa; Chordata; Mammalia; Artiodactyla; Suidae.
UGGCGACAUUCAGGCCGAGGAGGCCAAAGCUCCCUUGCCGAGGUUAAUGGCAGCCCUGUUAUGGACCAGUGUAUGUCAGGCAAGUCACCGAACCUUGCUGUGUCUUAGUGUCCUCCUGGGGAUGGUCCCUACGUCUCAGUGAGCCGGGGACUCUGAAGUGCUUGGAGCUGCGCCGGGCAUGGGAAGGGCUCUAUAAAUGAUUGUUCUUCUUCCCACUGCUGUCACAGUUUAUUAUUACUGGACUGGACAAUGUCCCUUGGUGGUGUGCUCUGAAGUCAGGGGACAGUGACCAGUGCUGCUCCUUCGACCUACGCCAGCCCGAUGGGCUCUGCUUCCUGUGGCACUGCCGAUUCUUUGUCUGCUUCUCCCACUGACCCCCGUCUGCCAGAUCCCUUCCAUUGGUGCAAGGAGCUGGGACAGCGCUGCCCCUUCUGAUUUUUCCCGGGGUCUUGGGGUAAAGAGCCUCUUUGGUACAUAAUAAAUGCAGGUAUUUAGUUUUGGUCAUUUGUGGGGAAGUGCUGGGGGCAGCAUGAAUGCCUUGGCCCUGACCAGGACGAGCGUGGCAGCUGGGUUGUUUGCUUUACUGAUUACAGCUUGAAGCACUGAGACCACAAGGAAUUCUAUUUUGGUUUGGAGGCAGGCGCCUUGACGUGAAAAGGAUCUAUCCUUGAAUUUGCAUUUCUGUGUGCCUCAGAACCUCUUUGGUGUUGGUGGAAUGCGUGUCCAUUGUGGGGCAGGGCUUGGGUCGGACCCGAGGCCCUCAACGCUGCUUGGUCUUAACAGAAUUCAGGCGUUCACAGCUGGUUCUCCCAGCCCAGAGCCCCUCCUGAGCAGCCCUGUGUCGUGAUGCUCUUUGUGGUCACUUACAUAAGAACUGAAUCUUUGCGCCAAGGCUAUGGUAUAAUUUUCCUGAAAGAACUGGAAUACAUGUGCCUUUGAUAAGACAGCACCCAGUUUAGCCACCCAGAAGCUAGGGGAACAAAAUCCCAGCCUUCGGCCCCUGGGAGGUGAAGCCCCAGAGAAGCUGAUUGUCCUUGAUGGCAGGGGUGCAGAGAGCAGAGCAGCCAGGUCCAGCCGGACCCUCCCUUACCCUCCCCGCCGGGUGUGAUUUGGAUGGAGAGAAACACAAGCUCUUCAAGGCGCUUUCUCUCAUCAAUAGAACCUGGAUACCGUGUAUUUUUCUUGCGCUGUGCUCACGGCUUACGGCAGGGAUGGCCGUGUCCCCAGUGCUGGGGGUUGUUACAAAGGACACUCGACAAAAGUGAAAAAGGCCCUAGAGACCGUUGAUCCAGCUCCUCUGUGCUAUGGAUGAGGAGGCCAAGGCCCAGAAAGCCCAAGUGUGUCAGGCUCUUUUGUUAAGUCACAGAUCCUGCUUCCCCCCAACAGAACAGCAUACAGCCGUUCAGGCAAAAUGAGGGUUUAUUGUAAAGACUCGUGGGGUAUUUUAUGGCACGUGAGGGCAGGAACGGUAGGAAGUGAGGUCAUUCUCUUUGGAGCCAGUGGUAGAGAUGGGCAUCCUUGGCCCUCCCAGCUCCCCGGCUCUGGUGCCCCCCCCAGUUGAGCCUGACUGGGAGGGAGGACGGGGUUGGCCCAGCUGGGUCAGGAGACCACCACGGAUGCAGUCAGCUGACAAGGCUGGGGAGGGGGCGCUCCUGAUCGGUCAGGGGUCCCUCUUCAGCAGGUCUGGGCAUGAAGGUGGUCCUCAGAGAAGGGUUCAAGGGCAGGGAAGCACCCUCUGUCACCCGGCUCCCCCAGGGCGAUGGGACCAGGAUCCAGGUCUUCUAGUCCAGCAGCAUCUUCCUCCUCGGGAGUGAGAGCGAAGUGGAGACCCCAGUCCCUCGAGGGGUGGUCGGGAGGACCCGAGGGGAAGGUCAGGCUGUGGCACCGGGAGUGUUAGCUUCGCUGGACUUCCCUCUGCGAGUCUCACCUCCCCGUGACCUCCUCUGCUCUAGUCAUUUGGGACAUUUUGAAGGGCUGUGGUCAGGGCACUGCGCUGCCUAGUUGCAGCUUUCCUGAUGUGGUCGCGGAAGACCAACAUUCUGCACAGGGUGUGGGCAGAGGAGGGACACGCCACUGCGUUUAAACCCACAGCGAUGACAUGGUGCCCGGAAAUAACCUCCCCAGAUACCCGGGGCCACUGGGCAGCCGGGCUCGGCUCUGCGGGGAAGUGGUCUGGCCUGAUUGCCCGCCCCCCCCCCGCCCCGCCACCGAAGGUCUGGUCUGACGGGGGCCAGCAGUUUUCCUUCCGUGACCACUUAGACACACAAUAAAAUUGGAGUGUCUUUGCUGUUUUGAGGUGUGGGGCAUUUUCUUUUACGUUUCAUUAAUCAUUUCUUAAAAUGUAGCCUCGUUCCUUUCCCUUGUAAUGUUUAUUCACAUUACCAGCACGUAUAUAAAAUGAGACACUCCUUAUUUCCACGAAGUGCACAUCGGAGUAAGCGUUCACUGCUGGUCCGACAGCUGCUGCUGCUUUAAUAAUAGUAAUAUUUUUCAAGGCAUUGCAGCUGAAUGCACUGCCUCCCGGUACCUAAAGUGGGGCCAAGGCAGAUAACGCUGUCACUGUCCCAAGGCUUCGUCUGCAUUUUGAGUAACAGAGUUUGAACAAAUUCAGAAUCUGCCACUACUGCAGUUAAGCACCUGCUCCGUGCUGGGCACUGGGCUGAAUGCCUCACACACAUCGUGUCACUUCAUUUAAUCCUUCCGACAGCUCUAUGGGGGGGGGUGCGGUUUCCCCAUUUUUCAGAUGACAGCCCAGGCUUAGGAAGGAUUCAGACCACUCCGUGCUCUUUUACCUCAGACUUGUUCUCAAGACAAAAGUGCUUUAUAGUGAGAAUGGAAUGCAAAUGACAUAGAACAGUCAGGAAAUAGGCUUCAGCUGAAGCAUGAGAGAUUUAGGUUAGCGCUGAAUAAGAACUUCCUGACAGGAUAUUAAAUACCAACUGGAUGNAAAACCCCCCCCCCCCCCCCGAGAGGCUAAUUAACUGCGUUAUGUACUUGCUCCCGUUCAUACAUGUAGCCCCUUCUACUAGACUGUACCGAUCUUGAGGGAGGAGGUCCCUCCCUUUAACCUGCUUGUCACUCAGAGAUUUGACUAAUGAGGGUAUAUAAUGAAGGCUACAUUGAAAUUGCCCUUGAUCGAUGCUUGCCGAGGGCAGGUCUGGGAAAAGUCUUCCAAGACCUGUUGUCUCCCUCCUCUCUGGACUUCAGUUGUACGCCUACCAGUUGGGUAGAGCAUUUGGAAAAACCGCCCGUUGCUGAAUUUCCUGAAGCUCUUGCCACAGAUCCAUGGCAGACCUGGAUGCUGAGCUGAAUUUUUGGUCUGGUCUUCUCGUGUCUGCAACCUACAGUCUUUCAGUGGAUUAGCAGCUUCAGAAGCAGCGAGCACUCUGACUUUUGCGUUCCAGCUCUGUACCGAGUACAGAAAUAACUGAGAAAUGUGCUAUUUCUGACCCUCACGACACCCAGCUGAUAAAUAAUGGAGAGAGGAUUCACACCCAGGUAUGUGGGGCUCCAGAGCCCGCACCCGCCCCGCCUCCGGCCAGCCUUACUUUGUUGUAAUUUAGCUGCAAAGUGCGGGGGACCAGGGGACAGUCGUGUUGGCAUUGACCUUCUCAAUGGAAACACACAUGCAUAGACACACAAACAAGACCUGCCUCCUCCAGGGGAAGAGAAGGCAUUUUCCCUCCAGAUGAUUUGUGUUUCCUUUACGUUGAAUGGGAGGCAUUUAAAUUUGGAUAAUUUACAUCCAUCAACUGGGGCAGCCAGUUCAUGAUGAUUACGGAGAGAAUUGGUGUUUUCAAAAAGAGCUGACCUCUCUGAUUUUUCUUUACAAAUGGCGAGGAGUGAAGCAUGUGAUUUUAUGAGCAGUUCUCCUCUGGGUUAACUCGCCAGCAUUUCUGUAUCCGUUAUAGCUGCUUACAAAGUGCUUUCAUGUGUGUUGUCUCAUUGCAUCCACAGCCCUUGGUAAGGCAACAGAACUCCCGUUUCCACAUUUGACAGAUGAGGAAACAGAGGCUCAGAAAGUUAAAAUGACUUGUCACAACGUUGAAUAAGUAGCCGAAGCUUGAGGUCACUUCUGCCUUCCAGUCUCCUAUGUUAUGCCCCCCGCCCCCAAGUGGUUCAGUGUCUGAAAGAGACACACCUAUGAGAUGUUUCGCCAAGUGAUUUUUAACUUAAAAGAAUACCUUUU